AAAUACAAAUCGAAUUCAGUCUCUUCCCAGACCCAGUGGGAAGAUGACUAAAGGUUUGGCCCACGUGAUAUCUGGGCCCCCAGCUACUCGAUUGACUAGGGGACAAUUGCUUUUUCACGGCCUAUUUCAAUCGUUCAUGUAUAUGUUGGUGCCCUUCGGUGCGCUUCUCAUGACUCCCUGGCUGAGAAAGCGCAAGGAGCCCGAAGACACAUCAACUGGUGAACCGGUUGAAAGGGCUGAUAAAGAGUGCUCCAAAUAAACGAUGUGUGGCGCUACGUCGUUUAUUAUGUUGAGCCUCGCUUGUUAGUUAAUAACUGGAAUAAUGUGUGUUUAUGUUUAUUGUUAAUUGUUCACGUUGGUUCCUUGGAUUCUCUUCUGCAAUUCUGCUGAAGGUGCUUCUCUCAUUACUCCCUGGAUGGGAGAGCAAGGGAUCCACAAAGGAAUCGACUUAUUAAUAAAAUGGUUGUAAGAAAUUUUAAGGUGUGCUCCUGAUAAGACGAUUGACUACAUUUCAUCAUAAACAUAUAAUUGACCUCGUUAGCGGAAUGAUUAUUUACAAUUCUAUAUUGAUUCCAUGUGAUCCUCUUCAAAAAAUAUAAUUUAGAACAAUUGUGCAAUAUUGAAGAAUUUGUUGAAAAAUUACUACGAAGAGCAUCUCAAGGGAUUUUAAUUACACAAUUGUAGUAUUUGGUUGUUACAAUUAAUAUAAUAGUUUACUGCGAACUACCUCCUGAUACUUUGUUUAUUCAAUAACUUAACAGUCCCAAGAUUGAAGGAAAUAUUUUUAAAAAUAACGAAGUAUCUAGAGGUAUGCUUCAGCCGACGGCUUAUAUCAAAAAACUUUUGUGGACAUUUCUUCCGGAUAUGCUUUCUUAAUUGGAGCCCAAAAGGUGGAAAUGUUUUCAAUUCUGAAAAAAAAAAGAAAAAGAAAUUAUUUACACUGAAGAAUAACUACAUAUUUAAAACUUAUUUUGUCACACAUCCCCCCCUAUAUUCCAGUUGUUUAAAAAUAAAUGUUAAUGUUGCAAUGGAA
Long non-coding RNA from Aethina tumida (small hive beetle), 1033 nucleotides. RefSeq lists it as uncharacterized. NCBI's taxonomy places the organism in Eukaryota, Metazoa, Arthropoda, Insecta, Coleoptera, Nitidulidae. The transcript has 5 exons. The record is from RefSeq and is a predicted model, not a curated record.